GACGAACGCUGGCGGCGUGCUUAACACAUGCAAGUCGAGCGAUGAGGCUUCUUCGGAAGUGGAUUAGCGGCGGACGGGUGAGUAACACGUGGGCAACCUGCCUUGUAGAGGGGGAUAGCCUUCCGAAAGGAAGAUUAAUACCGCAUAACAUAGCGAACCCGCAUGGGUUUGCUAUCAAAGAUUUAUCGCUACAAGAUGGGCCCGCGUCGCAUUAGCUAGUUGGUGAGGUAACGGCUCACCAAGGCCACGAUGCGUAGCCGACCUGAGAGGGUGAUCGGGCACAUUGGAAAUAAGACACGGUCCAGACUCCUCCGGGAGGCAGCAGUGAGGAAUCUUGCACAAUGGGCGAAAGCCUGAUGCAGCAACGCCGCGUGAGUGAUGAAGGUCUUCGGAUUGUAAAGCUCUUUGAUUAGGGACGAUAAUGACGGUACCUAAAGAACAAGCGACGGCAAACUACGUGCCAGCCGCCGCGGUAA
RNAcentral lists this ribosomal RNA (476 nucleotides) under uncultured bacterium. RNAcentral's name for it is "partial 16S ribosomal RNA". It matches the Rfam family "Bacterial small subunit ribosomal RNA", at positions 28 to 523 of the family's 1533-position model. The record is from RNAcentral.